AGACGAACCGGACAAACGUUAUUCGGAAUCAUUGGGCUUAAAGGGUGCGUAGGCGGUGCGGAGAGUUGGGUGUGAAAUCCCUCGGCUCAACCGAGGAACUGCGCUCAAAACUUCCGUGCUAGAGUGAGACAGAGGUUAGCGGAACUGAUGGUGGAGCGGUGAAAUGCGUUGAUAUCAUCAGGAACACAGGUGGCGAAGGCGGCUCACUGGGUCUCUACUGACGCUGAGGCACGAAAGCUAAGGUAGCGAACAGGAGUAGAAACCCCAGUAGUCC
This 274-nucleotide ribosomal RNA is filed under the name uncultured bacterium. Its description in RNAcentral is "partial 16S ribosomal RNA". It matches the Rfam family "Bacterial small subunit ribosomal RNA", at positions 523 to 796 of the family's 1533-position model. The record is from RNAcentral.